Long non-coding RNA from Equus asinus (donkey), 2071 nucleotides. Lineage: Eukaryota; Metazoa; Chordata; Mammalia; Perissodactyla; Equidae. The record is from Ensembl.
GAAUAACCACCCUGGCCGAGGCUUCGCAUCCAGCUGUGUGGAAGGAAGUCUCUUCAGCCCGCAGCACUUGAUUUGAUGAUGCCGGGUCCCAGGGCAGUCAGGAUGGAAUGGUGCUCUAAAAGGCACAGAGCCUUCGAUCGACUGAACUCCCAGCAUCUCUGCCCCAUCUUGGCCACAUGGACUUAGCCUCCCUCCCCCAGUCUUUCUGUUCCCAUCGGUUGCACCCCAGUGGGUCUCAGUCCUGCUUCCAGGGCUUCCCUCUCACGGGGUCAGCUGAUAAGCAUUCUCUUUUCCAACGCCCCCUUCCCGCCAGGUGCUCACCUCCCUGGGGGCGGAGAGAGAGUGGGUGUGACAAACUUUUCAGGGGAUCAGCCAGUUUCUCCACAAACAGCUCCCGGAAAGAGUGAUGUCCCCAGGAAACCCUCAGACUAGAGCACACCAGCCUCUGGAGAAUGUCACAUUCCAGAGGUCCGCUCAGUUCCUGGCCUGUGACUCACUGGGUGGAUCCCGCCCACCCGGGGCCCCGAGGCAGUGAUGGUGGCCCUGCUCCUCUGUUCCCGGUGAGGGCCCCACAGCAGCUGUGCCCUCCGUGUGGACUGUGACAGCGGCAGAGGACGCUGGCUGUGCUAACCCGCCCUGUCUCGUUUUUCAAUGUCGUGCUUUCAUGACGUGCAUCUCUUGAGACUGUGCUUUAUCUUUCCGGAAUAAAGAACUGGUAAAUCUGUAUUCAGAAACAUAAAAUUUUCGAAAACCAGCCAGAUAGGAGUACAUCUGUACCUGGAAAUGCUUAAGUGGAGCCUGCUGCUUUUCCCCCUCAGGACACCCCAGAGACACAGCUGAAAAUAAUUUCAUUCGCUAAGGUCUCCUCCUCUCUGGAUGGCACCACAGCAGAACAUGCAGCUUAUGCAUAGUAUUCAAAAUAAAGCAAAGGUGAAGAUGACGCCAGCAACCUAGCCCAUGACAACAGCAAGCUCCGCAAACCACGGUGGGAAAGUGUGCCCUCGUGACUCCAUAAAUUCCUCUUCACCAGCCCUCCGUGGGCAGGUUUGGUCCCAGUUCAGAGAAGGGGAAUCUGACGUAGAAAAUCUUCAGUGACUUGCUCCAAGCCAGGCAGUGUUGACAGAGAGCCGGGAGCGAAUCUCAGAGCAGCCGAAACGCAGCUCCUCUCCAAGGACGCCUGGGAGGCUCCCUAAAUGACAGAACAGGCAGCCAGUCCCCGGCGAGUGGGAACCCGCCCUGCCGGGACCAGAGCCCAGGACGAGGCUGCAAACCGUCCCGGACAUUGGCUUCCAGCCUCCCAUGAGGGAUGUCUGGCUCCAAAGACACGAGUUCAUCUUGGCCAGACCCCUGACCUGGACAUCUCGGAAGCGAAAAGAAACCCAGUGAGCCAAAAGUUGAAAGGAGAGAGACCGCUCUCCAGGACAGCUGACUCUUCACCCGAGAGCCUGAGCUGCCCGCGAGAAAGACGCACCUGGACAAGGGGGACGAGGAGGGGGGCAGGGAGAUCAGAGUGGAUGAAAAGGGCUCUGGUCAAAGGGAAGAACUGGAGAGGACGAUAGCCCCAGAACUAUCCACACCAGCCAUCCUCCUCAGGGAGGGAAAGAGUUGAUCUUCAAACCUCCCACGUGGGCAAAGAGCUGCAGGAGGCAGAGGAGGCGGGGCCUGCCCACACCUUCCUGCGCAGAGGUCUCCUUUAGGCCGCAUUCUGCUAUGAAGUGUCCCAGACUCCCUCCUCUGUGCUCACAGAAGCGCCAAAGUGCUCUGCCAGGGGCCUGGCUCCUAAAGCCUUCAACCCCCAUCUGCCGUGUGCCUGGCCAUCUCCAUGGGAGGCACUCCAUGCUGUGUAUCUUCAGAGCUCCAAGGUCACGGGAACACAGAAACAGUCCCUGCAGUGCUCGUGACGCUUGUGUCCACAGCCAAUCUAUAGAUGCAAUUGACAAACGAGUAUAAUCCCAACAUGAAUGUUGAUUGAUAUUUUCAUUUACCUUUAUGAACAAGACAAUAGUGAAACGACCAAGACGUAUGUUCAGUGAAAUGUCAGAACUUUACUCGUACAUUAAUGAUGUGAACA